RNAcentral lists this ribosomal RNA (271 nucleotides) under uncultured bacterium. RNAcentral's name for it is "partial 16S ribosomal RNA". The record is from RNAcentral.
CUGCUGCCUCCCGUAGGAGUUUGGACCGUGUCUCAGUUCCAAUGUGGGGGACCUUCCUCUCAGAACCCCUACGCAUCGUCGGCUUGGUGGGCCGUUGCCCCACCAACUACCUAAUGCGCCGCAUGCCCAUCCAUGACCGGGGUCGCCCCCUUUGACCGGCAGGGGAUGUCCCCUCCCGGCAUUAUGUUGUAUUAGGCGGGAUUUCUCCCGGUUAUCCAUCUGUCACGGCCAGGUUGCAUACGUGUUACUCACCCGUGCCGCCGGUCGCCGG